RNAcentral lists this ribosomal RNA (253 nucleotides) under uncultured bacterium. Its description in RNAcentral is "partial 16S ribosomal RNA". It matches the Rfam family "Bacterial small subunit ribosomal RNA", at positions 524 to 776 of the family's 1533-position model. The record is from RNAcentral.
UACGAAGGGGGCGAGCGUUGUUCGGAUUUACUGGGCGUAAAGGGCGCGUAGGCGGCGCGGUAAGUCACUUGUGAAAUCUCUGAGCUUAACUCAGAACGGCCAAGUGAUACUGCAGUGCUAGAGUGUGGAAGGGGCAAUCGGAAUUCUUGGUGUAGCGGUGAAAUGCGUAGAUAUCAAGAGGAACACCUGAGGUGAAGACGGGUUGCUGGGCCAACACUGACGCUGAGGCGCGAAAGCCAGGGGAGCAAACGGG